Hemibagrus wyckioides is the source of this 3517-nucleotide long non-coding RNA. RefSeq lists it as uncharacterized. The transcript is spliced from 3 exons. NCBI's taxonomy places the organism in Eukaryota, Metazoa, Chordata, Actinopteri, Siluriformes, Bagridae. The record is from RefSeq and is a predicted model, not a curated record.
AAGUGGUAUUUAGUAACUAUCAGGAGCUGAAAUGGCGUAGCUCGUCUCUGUCACUGAGGGACAGCGGGCCCGGGUAAAGCUGGGAAAACCCUGACCAUGAACCGCGCAGAAAUGGACUUUAAUUCAUGUCCUUCAUCAACCCUCUGAGAAACUAGUCAAGAAGACGCGCGACAGCAUCCUGUUGCCUGCUGAGAUCAUGCAUGAGUACAAGACUCUGGAGAAAGAGAUAGCAGAUGACAAGUGGGUCAGCGGCAUGCUGAAGCCUGUCCUGCGACCGCGUCCUUCAGAUCUGCUCAGCAUCACGCCCGGGUAGCGGUUCAUGCUCCAUCCAUCCAUCCAUCCAGGAUGACGUCAUGGGUGGAGUCCAGCCUGCUUUUAUUUCCUCUUUCUUCAUCUGAGUUUUGAGUUUUUUCCCCCCUUUGUUUACUUCAUUCCUUUUUUUUUCGUAUCCUGUCAGCUAUAAAUUUAAAUACACCAUGACGGUCCUCGCUGAUGAGGUUUUCGAAUCAGAUCCUUUAGUUUCUACCACUUCUAAAGCUAGCUUUACCUAGAUAAAAGGUGUUCACACUUAUACAGUAUCGUAAAAUAAUAAUAGAUGGUCAAAGCUCCUCAGAGUGACCUACAGUAUGUCCGGGAAAUGUGUUAAUGAGGGUUACGUUAAAGGAAGGAUGAAGGCGUGUUGAAUAGUUCAUGCAGCGGCUCAUUGCGGCGUUGAAAUCCUGCCAUGUCAGUGUUCACUUGUUGGCUGUGUUUACCUGCAAAGAUUUUCUCCAAUCCGAAAGAAAUUUGUUUCCAAUUCUUCUGUUUACAUCAAGUGGAGCGUGUUGGCAGUCUUCAUCUCUUUUAAUCCUGCUGCCCGAGCUUUAAAUGAUCCGGUCUCGCAACAUAAUCUAAACGGGUGGUGAGGAGAAGAAGAGUUCACGAGCUCAGUGAAUGUCACUCGGCUCUUCAUAUUUGCCUGAGAUUUCGCUAGCUUGAGUUGAAAAUGCACAAAAGAUACGUCAGUGUAGCGUCAUCUUCUAAUGUAAACAUUUACGAGUGAUAACUCAGAAGAAAUGUAGGUUUUAUCAUACUUUUUGCCCUUAAAUUUGGAUAAUUGAGCUCUUAGUCAGAUUAUGGAAAUUCAUUUAUAGCAUAUGAUGGAAAGGUUCAGUCCCACAGGUUUAUUUACAUUUAUUACAUUUACUUUUCCCCCCAAGGAGGUUGAGAGGUGUGUGUGUGUGUGUGUUCCUUAACAUGUUUGACCUGUAGUGAUGAUGGGAUGAAUCAAACGAAGGUUUCCUAAAAGCAUUGUUAAAUGGUAGAGCGAGCAUCACAUUAAACUCUCUCUCUCUUGGCCAGUCAUGAACAAACAUUACAGUGCUUUUAGGAAACUAAAUUGGUGUAGUUUGAGCGUAAAUGGCGUCUACGGACGGGGGAUACGUGCAAUACGUCCGUUUUUUCCGUGUCCUUUUUCAAGAUAAACGUGUAUAUUGUACAAACAAGUGACGAGUUGAUCGUGCGACAAACAACAAAAUCACCAAUGUCUUCCAUUAAGUGAUGUAUAGUUUCAUCCGCUUGUUUCGGUAGCGGGAUCUGUCGUGCCGAUGUUCUAUGUGGCCAUGCAUGAGCGGACUUGAUGCUUGCAGAGUAGAUGUAGUGAAAAUCCAAUAUAUUAACUUUAACGCAUAUUAGCUAAUAGUGGAGCAGGUGGCGGUUAGGCUCGUUAGCGCCGUGUAGCUUUGAGAAUAGUGAGCUUUGGAGAAAAUCUUUUUGUGUGUGUGUUGUCUUCUGAUCUUUAGAUAGUCAUCUAAUCUGAUCAUUUUCUUCAGAUCACUUUCCUGAAACAAAAAACGAACAAAAAUGUUAUCUAUUUGUGUUGAAAAAAAUAUAUAAACCCCCCAAUAACCUUAUAUUUUUGAUCUAUUAUUAAUCUUUGGGUUUAUAUUCAAGAUAAAAUCUGUGCCUCCAGACCACAAAUCUCACAGUUUCUGUGACUGAUAUAAUCUUGUUCUCAACGUUGCUAGCUAGCAUAGAACAACCCGACUAGCUAACUAGGUUGCAUCGGCGCUCGUCAGCGCUGUAAGUUAGGACAAAAUACGUGAAAAAAGAAAAGUUUUUAGUUUCGAGUGACACUAAGGUAGCGUCAUCACUCUGACGCAGUUACAGAUGCAUCAGAGAGUUAGCUUGGCUAGCUUUAACGUAGCAGACAUCCUAGAUUUCAGUUGACGCAUAGCUAGCCAAUCAGAAUAUGGUGAUGUAGAUAGUUAAAUACCUCAAUCGCUGGAAUGCAAAAGUCUAUUUUUUCGAUUCCAUUGACAAAUAUGCAAGCCAUACUGCGCAUUAUGUUAGGUAUUUUUCACGAGGGUCGAUCCGUGCCAAAAAAAGCCAAAAUUCGCAUUCUGUUGUCAUCUUCAUUUCAAGCCUACGUCUAAGCGCUUGCUACACAGCUUCACUCCAUGUGUAACAGAUCUAGACAAAGAUCUGGACAGUAACUAUCUGUUGAGGGCGCACACGAGAUGUUUUCUGUCAAUUAAUGAGCUAACUAGUUAGCUGAAUAUGUUAGCAUAGAUCUCGUUUAGCUAACACAUUUUACCUUCCAUUACAACCUCGGACUGGGCAGCACACUGGAGUAAUUACUUCAUUUUUUGGCACGGAUAGACUCUCAUCAUUUAGAAGCAAUAAUUCUAUUAUGCAUGAAAACUCUAGUGCCAGAAUUUGUGGAAUGAUCUGUAGCAUAUUUCUAGCCGUAGUGUGUGUGUGUUAUUCAUGUUUACUCCUAAAGCGUACUGGAUUUCCAGUGUGUUCGUUAAAGAAAAGAAAGAAGAAGGAAAAAAACACCAAAAAACGCUGUACGGGAACGUGAGCACUGAAACCCCGGUAGAGGGAAAAGAAAACCUUCUAUUCUUUAUGCACAAUGCAUGAUUUCUAUUACUACAUGAGCAGAAAACACUAAACAGAGAUGACACUGGAGUCGGAAAACAACAGGUGACGCUUUCUUUCAUACACUGACACAUCACUUGGUCAGCGAGCCUGUACGUGUUUCUCUGUGGGAAUGUUGGGGGGGGGGGGAGUAAAUUAGCUACUGCAUGGUAGAAGUGGGUACCACGUGUCGUGCUGCAUGCAAUAAUUAAGCUUUGUUCAGAGAAAAUAUAAUGCAAGAAUGUGAAGACAAGCGAGUGGGCUGAUUGAUGUGUUUUCCCCUCAGUUUAGUUUAAAAAAACCCUGUUAUAUAUCUGGACACACAAUCUCACUCACUUUGAUAUAACCUGAUCUGUAUGGAACUUUACUUAUUUUCAUUUUUAAAAUAGUCAGGACCUUGUACAACCCUUGACAUGAUGACGAUGCGAGUAACAUUGAAGAUGAUCGGAAUAGUCAUGUCAAUGGAAAGAAACGGUUUCUGGGCCAAGCUCAAUGCUGAUUGGUUGCCCAGUAUUUUCUAACAACCAAUCAGCACGCAGUUUUAAACGGAUCCCAGGAGGAGUGCGACACUGAACCCGGGAUCUUAAAAAAAAAAAAAAAAAAAAACCAGUUCAAA